GGGUGAUCCUCCAGUGAGAAAGUGCUACCAUGAGUUCUGUAAAUACUGUCAGGACCAUCCUUUGAGUGUUGACAGCUCCUAGCCACGAGGUUAAUACUGAAGAACAAAUGCAAGUGACGAAGAAUCAGCAGAAGACUUUCCAAAUAGUUUAAUGGAGGAACAAUGUAGAGGUGAACAAAGCAUCCUCUGAGGAUGUGAAGA
Molecule: long non-coding RNA, 201 nt
Organism: Calypte anna (Anna's hummingbird)
Lineage: Eukaryota; Metazoa; Chordata; Aves; Apodiformes; Trochilidae
Exons: 3
Source: RefSeq, a predicted model, not a curated record